Molecule: long non-coding RNA, 12727 nt
Filed under: Pelobates cultripes (western spadefoot toad)
Lineage: Eukaryota; Metazoa; Chordata; Amphibia; Anura; Pelobatidae
Source: RNAcentral
UGUGGUUGGUAUUGAGGAACUGUCAGGGUGGGUCCUUGAACACCAGCUGGGCCAGGAUCUCCCGUAGCACCGGGUUCUCCUUUGUUUCCUUGAGCACCAGGUUCACCAUUGUUACCCUUAGGUCCAGGGGAACCUCCGGGGCCUUGAGGUCCAGGAGCACCACAGGCACCAGGGAAGCCAGGGGCACCAGCAAUACUAGGAGUACCAGUGGGGCCAGCUUGACCGGGAGAACCGGGUUCACCAUGAGCACCUUGGGGUGAACCCCUGCUAUCCACAAUUAAAACACUGCUGAAGUUACCACCUCUACAAAAGUUAGACCCUUUGAUCAAAUCCUCUACCUCUGCCUCUAAAACUUUUCUGAUUCAAUCUCCUAUCACCUCCCAAAUGUCCGUGUCUCGCCUGCUUAAGAUCACAAUCCUUUGUGACCGAUACAACAUACUUUUCCCUCUUUCUUUAUAUCAAAACAACCUGCUGUAUCUUUCUCAUGAAUCUUCCCAAGAAAUUCAGUUGGGGUCAAAGCGGGCCAGUCACAGACCAACAGUUUGCCCAAAAGUGAACAAGGAGGAAGCAUAUUCCACAUGCAGGUCGAGAUUACCUAACUCACACCCCCUCUUUGUGUACCACACAGAUAUAUUAAUAAGCUUUUGAAGAUUUAUUGUAUAUGUAUAGCAUAGCAGUUGUCUAGGGGUGUAUACAUAAACAGUGAAAGCAGAGUCUUCAUAUAAGGUUUGCAAUUCUGACAGUCUGGGUCAUAGGUGUAAUGCAGACAUGCGGUUAGGUACUUUCCCAUUGUCAGAACACUAAUAUAUUGCAAAUAUUAAAAUCAUAUUGCAGCUGUUUCCUAUACCUGCCAGGAUAUGGUUGUAAUACUUCAAUUGAGUUCAAAUUGAGUAUCAAAAGUCUAACCACAAAAACUAAAUUUUAUAUGCUUAUCAAAAAUGAGUUUAACCCCUUAGCGAUUUAAUAGGGUGAUCUCUUCCCAUAGUAUAAUUCCUUUUAUAACUAUUAUAUUAUUUAUUCUCUUCUGGGUCUGCAAAAUGCUUUCAAUAUACCAAUACAAAUAUAAUACAGUAGUUUAGAAUUGCCUCAAAAGAAAUUAUCUGAUUGCUAUUAAAAAUACCCUUUCAUCAUUUUGCUAUAAUCAAUGAGGCAUACUAGAUAAAUAUUAAUCUUGGAAAAACCUAUCCUAUACAUUUCUUGUUAUAUAACCAUAUAACAUAACAAUUGUUUAUGUUAAAGAUAACAAUUUUUUCUUUUUCUUUGACUUAAAUAAUGCAAUGCACUUUAAAAGUAGAGUUAACUCUAAAUACUCCCCUGAUAAUACGGAGAGAGAGAGAGAGAGCCAUUUAAAAUUGGAAACGUGGAUCUACGAUUUUGAAAAGCAGAUGAUAUUUUUUUUUUCUUUCUCAGGGGCCCCUUUUUCGUGAGCUGAUCAGCAUUUAAUCUGUUGUAAAAAGACACUAAAGGCUUGUGUUAAUGACAUGCAAAUAUUCUUUAAAUAUUCUUCAUACUCAUUGUAAUAUCACACAUGUCAUCUUAUAACACAGAACACAGCGAAUGUAGCAGAUAUCCAGCAGGCAUGCCAAUACAAAAAACUUAUUCAUGGACAGGCAAUUAAUCCAAAAUAAAUUAAUAAAUGUCACACUCGGUGUCCCUCAAAAGAAACACAGACAUAAUGUAGGUUCCCAUGUUUGUGCAUUAUGCAUGUCUGCAGACUAUGCAAGCAGUACUGCUUUAAGAUUAGAUCAGAGAACCUGGCAACUGGACAGGAAAGUCGAAUUUUGGCAAGUAGUCCAUUAUUGCAACAGAAUUUUGGAAAUCAGCUAAAACUUACAAAAACAGCCCUGCCUCCCACCUCCCCCCUGUUAUUUUUUUUUUUUUUUUUUUUAAGACUGCAACUCAUAUUGCUCUUGGACUAGUAUUCAAUAAUAAAUCAGUUAUUUAAUAGAUUAUUACGCUGCCAUUUCCAUCUGUAUCAAUACUGAGACAAACAUUCAAAUAUAAUUUAAAAUAACACAGCAAAAUACCCAUUAACAUACAUGACAAACUGCAUACUUCAAAAUUAGUAACCAAAACACACAUUUAUCACAAUCACCAUUUACACAGAAUAAACUUUUAACAGCUGUAUUCAGAACAUAUUAUUGUAGGGUAUACCAAUUUUAGUUUGUAUCAAAUUUAUUUAAAAAGUUUUUUUUUCUUUUUAAAGAAGGGAUCCCGUACGGCCAUAUAAAGCGUUUGACUUAAACAUUUGUAUAACACGUGCAUUAACCAGUUGCAACAUACGUACCCUGUCAAUAGAAUUUCUCUCUUAUACGCUUAUAAAACAUUUGGACCAGAUUACACAGACAUGGUAUCACCUGCAUUUGUCAGAACUCUCAAAGACUCAAAAUAUUUAUACUACUCCAUGUUAAAGGCAUGGCAAAAUUUUGACCGGUCAAUUUGAGUUACCAAAAGUCAUAUCAACACAGGUAAAAACCUUUGUCCAUGGUUUUCUGAUCCUACAUUCCAUGACCAAAAUUUCAAACCCACUUCUGCACAGUUUGGGUCCCAAUCAAUAAAAUCUCAGCAUCCCCAUACAACAAUUCUAAAUUUUGCUCUCCAAUUUAAAACAUCUCCAUUUACAACAUAAAUUCUCUGCAACAAACACACAGGGCAGAAAGAAUGUGGUGUUUGACGUUUUGAAUGAAGUGACUUUUUGUCCCAAUAUGAAAAUAAAGGGCUCAUCAUAUAAACAAUCAUACAUCCCCCUCUCAUUAAAAAGUGUAGUGGGCUUAUAGUACUUUUGUCCAAGUAUAAAAUAAAGGGCUCAUUAUUCAAACAAACAUACAUGCAGAGACAUCAUGUUAGUUCUAGAAUUUGUAGCCCCCUCCUUAAAUAACCUCUAUUUUUUUUUCUCUUAUUCAUCAUCACCUUUACAUGUACUUUUAAUAUUCCCUCAAUUUAGACCUUUUGCUUAAAAUCAGCAUUGCACAUCAUAAAAUAGCACAUAAAGCAAGCUGGAGUAAUGCCAAACAUCCAUCAUACUCCGAAUGGAGGCGUGGGUUUGAAUCCCACUUCUGACACCAAUUUGUUGGGGAUAAAAUCAGCCCGGGCCCUUUGUGGAUGAUGGAUAUUUGCCAACUCAUUCAGAGCUCUGGAAAUUGGAAAUGAAUAGCAGAGUUCAAUAUCCAAUUGUGGAUAGCAGGGGUUCACCCCAAUGUGCUCGUGGUGAACCCGGUUCUCCCAGUCAAGCUGGCCCACUGGUACUCCUGGUAUUGCUGGUGCCCCUGGCUUCCCUGGUGCCUGUGGGACCUCAAGGCCCCAGAGGUUCCCUGGACCUAAGGGUAACAAUGGUGAACCUGGUGCUCAAGGAAACAAAGGAGAACCUGGUGCUAAGGGAGAUCCUGGCCCAGCUGGCGUUCAAGGACCCACCCUGACAGUUCCUCAAUACCAACCACAGCUUCCAACCUAUACCCACAACCAAUUAAAAUUUUAUUCAUACGUCAGUUAUAUUUAUACCCCGUUUUCAUAGGAGGAUGGGAGGGGGGAAAAUUAGCAUAUGGGCAUGACAAUGAUGACAAUGACAUUUCGAAAUCAGUACUUUUCCCGUAAAUAGGAUUUUAGAUAAAAUUUAUUUCCGAGAAUCGGAGAUAUAAUUCCAAAUGUAUUCUUGGUUCAAAUUAACCCUUAUAUGAACAGCUAGGAUAGAUAGCAAAAUGGAUAUUCAUAUCUACAGUGUGAUGUCUGCCAGCGAGUGGGGAAAAGAGGGGACCACCCUAAGGCUCAACUGUUACCCAUGCCAGUGAUCGAGGAACUCUUUAGCAGGGUAGCAGUCGACCUAGUAGGGCCCAUACCCAACCCCAGCCCCUAACCAACCCCCAUACAUUCUUACCGUAGUGGACUACACUACUCACUAUCCGAAGGCCGUCACUCUGAUUCAAAAAUCCUUUCAUAUCAACCUCCUGAAAGAAUAUCAGGAGAGGCCAGAGAACAAAGCAGCCAUAUGUAUCCCCGCUACAGAUGACCCUGACAGCCUACCUAUCCCCAACUUCCUAGCUUGUCCUGCGCCCGGCAGGCUGCUUAGUGCUGUCCAGCUAGGGGAGCGCCUAAACCCUGCAGAAAAGGGCCAACUUAGACAACUGUUCGCAGAAAAAGAGUUAACCUUUUCCCAAGAACCAGGAUACACUACGCUAGCGACACACCACGUAGAAACCCCUGGACAAGCGCAUCUCAGACAACCCCUCUAUCGGAUCCCAGAGGCAGUUAAGGAGGGGAUGAGGAAAGAAAUUAAAGAAAUGCUUAAGCUAGGAGUUAUAGAGUUAUCCAACAGCCCCUGGGCCUCUCCAGUAGUCUUAGUCCCCAAAAAGGAUGGGCCCACACGGUUCUGCGUUGACUAUAGACGCCUCAAUGACCGAAAAGUGACAGAUGCUUAUCCGAUGCCCCGAGUGGAUGAACUAUUAGAUCGUAUUGCCAGGGGACGUUAUCUGACCACCAUCGAAUUGUGCAAGGGCUAUUGGCAGAUCCCCCUGGCCAAAGAGGCUAUCCCCCAAGUCGGCCUUCGUCAUCCUGUUUGGCCUAUAUCAAUUUAAGGUUAUGCCAUUCGGGAUGAAGAAUGCCCCAGCCACUUUCCAACGCUUGGUGGAUAGGCUCCUUGAUGGCUUCCAGGACUUCGCUUGUGCGUACCUGGAUGACAUUGCGAUCUAUAGUGAGACAUGGGGGGAGCAUCUAAAACACGUAGAGGCCGUAUUGGAUCAGAUUCGGGCCACAGGCCUGACUCUGAAACCUGAAAAAUGCCACCUGGCCAUGAUCAAGGUCCAGUACUUGGGACACCGGGUAGGGUGUGGAAAGUAGCGCCCCAAACCGGCCAAGAUUGAGGCAGUAGCAAAUUGGCCCACCCCCCACAACAAGACCCAAGUACUGGCCUUCCUAGGGACAGCGGGGUAUUACAGAAAAUUUGUGCCUGACUAUAGCACUAUUGCUAAGCCCCUGACAGAUUUAACUAAAAAGAACCUACCCAGAAUAGUCCUGUGGUCUCCCUCCUGUGAAGCAGCCUUUCAAGCACUAAAGAACGCUUUGAUCAAUGCUCCUGUAUUAGCUGAAGGAGCCCUACGGUGAUGGUGGAACUUGAGGAGUACACCACUGUGGCGGACCGCCUGGCAGGUACCUGGCUAAAGCUUCAUAUUCAAUCAGGGACCAGUGGCAGGUACCUGGCUAAAGCUUAAUUUUCAAUCAGGGACCAGUGGAAGGUACCUGGCUAAAGCUUCAUAUCCAAUCGGGGACUAGUGGCAGGUACCUGGCUAAAGCUUCAUAUCCAAUCAGGAACCAGUGGAAGGUACCUGGCUAAAGCUUCAUAUUCAAUCAGGUACCAGUGGCAGGUACCUGGCUAAAGCUUCAUAUUCAAUCAGGUACCUGGCUAAAGCUUCAUAUUCAAUCAGGGACCAGUGGCAGGUACCUGGCUAAAGCUUCAUAUCCAAUCGGGGACCAGUGGCAGGUACCUGGCUAAAGCUUCAUAUCCAAUCAGGAACCAGUGGAAGGUACCUGGCUAAAGCUUCAUAUCCAAUCAGGAACUAGUGGAAGAUACCUAGAUACAGCUUUAUACCCUACCAGACAUCAUUACAAGGCACCUGGUGAAAGCUUCAUAUCCAAUCAGGUAUAAGAAAAAGAGACCUAGCUAAAGCUUUAUACCUAAGCAGGUAUCACUGGAAGGUAGAUAGCCAAAACGUCAAACCCAAUCAGGGAUCAGUGAAAUGCACAUGGCCAAUGCUUCAUACUCAAGAAGCGGAUACCUUGAGAAUAAAUCUAUGUCUCUAAGCAGCACCUUGCUUGAUGGACGAUAUAAACAUCCUACGCACUGCCCUUACAGGAUUACACUGUCCGCGUUACUCAUUAAAAUGUGAAUUUCCGUGUAGUUUAAGACAACAUAUGUUAAUUCAUUGAGCAUCGUAUUUAAAUUUCAUUUGGCAGCUUUAAAUAUGAAGAUAUUAACUAUUGCAACAAGUUUCUCCAUUAGCCGGCAGAGAUUCUCAACUGGACAGUAUAACACAUGGUGAAUAAAACUGAAUUCUAUGCAUGAAUUCACUGUAUAGUAUGGGGUCCAAUAAAACAUUCAGAUAUUAACCUUUACAAUAGCGCCAGCCUCCCAAACAGCUUUGGCCUCUAAGCCUUUCUGCCAGUGCCAUUAUCCAGGAUAUUUAUUUAGCGUGACAUUAGCACUAUGCCAACACCCAUGAGAUUGAUACAGACCGUGUACAUUCUAUCAUUCCAGGAAAAUGACAGACGAAGGUUGGUUAUAUACACACCAGAUUUAUUGAAGAAAAGCAUUGUUGCAAAAAUAGUGAUAUUCAAACAUGUUAUGUACAUUGCUCUUUUUGGUUUUAGCGAAGCCUAAAAUAAGAGUUUAGUUCCAACGGUGAAACAAAUAUACAGAUAAAACGUAUACAAACACACCUUUCUAGUUUUGACAUUAAAAUUAUUUUAUUUAUAACAUGGUUGAGUCUUCAAAAUAUUCACAGUAAUAGCAUUAAAAUUAAACAUAUAGGAUUAUUUUUAAAAAAUAUAUAUACACCAGAGUACAUUCAGCAAAAUAAAGAUAUUUCCCUUUUUGAAAUUCACAUUUAGAGUUUGUACUAUUCUAAAUACUUUGUGCGUCGAGGCGGAUGAUACACACAAACAUCCUGAAUCAGGAGGAGCCCUGGAUUAGCUUAACACCCUAAAUAAACAAAGCUUCCAAAUACUUGACCACCUACAAAGGUAAAAUAAAAACCAAAUGUUCAACAAUACAUACAGGUCCCCAACAGAAAGACGAGAAACAUGGAUGUCUGUUUCUUGCUAUGCGUUAGAUUUUCUCUGCCCAACCAAGAGUUUAAUUCACUCCAUUUUACUGGUGCAGAUCAUGUGUCACAGGUUAAAGGAACAUGCAUCACUUUGCAGGCUGAAAACAAGCAGGCGAGUUAUGUUUUUUCAGGUAAACCUGUUUCUUCUUUCUUAUGCUUUCCACACCCACUCCAGGGGGAACACUGAUCUGACCAAUCAGUGUCCUAUCCCUAGGAAUAAUGGAAAAGUGCAAUGGGCUUGCCGGACAGAUUUUUACCUAUGUACAGUAGGAAGAUCUCUUCACCUUGCAACAUCCUGACAGGCGGUUAGUGUAAUCAUGCAGAGCAGGCUCUGCGGUUAUGGGUUCUCUCUCCUCCUGCUGCGCAAUGACCCCCUUAUUCUGUCAUUAGUGAAAUGGUCUAGAUCAGGCAUAGGCAACCUUCGGCACUCCAGAUGUUUUGGACUACACCUCCCAUGAUCCUUUACCAGCAUUAUGGGUGUAAGAGCAUUAUGGGGGAUGUAGUCCACAACAUCUGGAGUGCCGAAGGUUGCCUAUCCCUGGUCUAGAUUACUAUGUGGAUAAGGUGGGGAGGGCUGAAGAAACUCCCCUAGUUGAGAAGCAUGCAUUACAAGCUGACAACGUUUUUUUGUUAAUGUUUAUUACAUACUUUUCAAAGUUGUGUUUGCUUUAUUUUGAUAUGUUUAAAAGUGUUUGCUUCCUGGUUUAAAAAUUUUUUUUCAAGUGAUGCAUGUCCCUUUAAUACUGUGUGACGUGACAACUAUGUAUACACCCUGGUCGGCUGGAGGUUUAUACAAUAAGCUCAGUUUUUAUUUAGAAAAUAAAGGAAGACUGGAGAUUGGCUGAANNNNNNNNNNNNNNNNNNNNNNNNNNNNNNNNNNNNNNNNNNNNNNNNNNNNNNNNNNNNNNNNNNNNNNNNNNNNNNNNNNNNNNNNNNNNNNNNNNNNAAAGGAUGGCAAUACUCGUGUUUGGUCUACCGAGGCACUUCAGGCUUUUGAAUUUCUUAAAACUACGUUCGCUUCUGCACCUAUUUUACAGCAUCCUGUCCCCUCACUGCCCUAUAUUCUUGAAGUUGAUGCUUCGGAUAUUGGGGUAGGUGCUGUCUUAUCCCAAAGAGAGUCGCCUGAGAAGCCAUUGCAUACAUGCGGCUUCUUUUCUAAACAAAUGUCCAAAGCAGAGAAAAAUUAUGAUGUGGGUAAUCGCGAACUCCUUGCUAUUAUUUUAGCACUUAAAGAGUGGAGACAUUUGUUAGAAGGAACUAAGGAUCCCAUCCUCAUUUUUACGGAUCACAAGAACCUAUCCUACCUUAGCGAAGCCAAAAGAUUGUCUUCCAGGCAGGCUAGGUGGUCACUAUUUUUGUCCCGUUUCAAUUUUAUUAUCACCUAUAGGCCAGGUGAUCGCAACACUAAAGCAGACGCUCUGUCCAGACAGUUCGAAACUACUGACAAACAGGAGAUUGAUGUUACUCCUGUCAUUCCCCAGACAGGAUAAUAGCUACUACUAUUUUGUCUAUUUCCUCGUCCCUCUUGCAGGCCAUACAAGCGAAACAAAGCAUGGCACCUAGCGAGAGGCCUAAUGAUAAACUGUUUGUUGAUGUUCCUGAGAGAUGGGAUAUUAUGUCAUUAUAUCAUGAUACUAAGACCGCUGGACAUCCUGGUAUUUCCAAAACGGUGUCAGCUGUUUCUCGGUAUUUUUGGUGGGAUUCCUUACGAAAGGAUGUCACCGACUAUAUAAGUGCUUGUACUACUUGUGCCUGUAUGAAAUCCUCCCGUAGAGUUCCUUGUGGGCUGUUGCAUCCGUUACCCGUUCCCGAGAGACCUUGGUCUAACCUGUCCAUGGAUUUUAUUGUUGAAUUACCCCUUCAAAUGGUAACACAGUAAUCCUGAUGAUAGUGGAUCGGUUCUCCAAAAUGGCUCACUUCGUGUCUCUUCACAAGUUGCCCACAUCCAAGGAACUGGCUCAUAUCUUCGCUAGAGAAGUAUUUCAAUUACAUGGGAUUCCCGUAUCUAUUGUAUCCGAUAGGGGUAGCCAAUUUAUUUCCAGGUUCUGGAGGGCCUUUUGUUCAGAAAUGGGUAUUUCUUUCUCAUUUUCUUCCGCUUAUCAUCCCCAGUCUAAUGGGGCUGCUGAACGUGCCAACCAGUCUCUGGAGCAAUACCUCCGUUGUUUUGUGUCUCACCAUCAGGACAAUUGGUCUGACCUGCUUCCUUGGGCUGAAUUCGCUCGGAAUAACGCCACUCAUGAUUCUUCCGGCAAGACCCCUUUUUACGUUGUCUAUGGCCAGCAUCCCGUUGUUCUUCCGGCUGCAUUCUCCUCACAGGGCAUGCCAGUUCUGGAUGAGCAUUUGGCUGGUUUGCGUAAUACUUGGGAGCAGGUUCAGCGCUCUUUGGUGGACUCUGCUACUCGCCAGAAGGCUCAGGCUGACAAGCAUCGCAGAGCAGCUCCGUCCUAUGUUGUGGGGGACAGGGUUUUGCUUUCCACGCUGAAUAUUCGUCUCCGGGUGCCUUCUAUGAAAUUGGCUCCCCGCUUCAUUGGACCUUAUCGUAUUAUACAUAAGGUUAAUCCUGUUUCUUAUGCCUUAGGCCUGCCUAAGAAUCUGCGUAUUCCUAAUGUUUUUCACACUUCAUUGUUGAAACCUUUCGUACGCAACCGCUAUACCCGGCAUACUCCUCCUCCCCCUCCUAUCUCGGUGGAGGGUCAUGAGGAGUUUGAAGUGUCUGCUGUUCUUGACUCUCGUUUCCUUAGGGGUCGACUUCAGUACUUGGUACAUUGGAAGGGUUAUGGGCCUGAGGAGCACAGCUGGAUUUCGGCUGAUGCUGUCCAUGCUCCCCGUCUUGUGCGCUCUUUCCAUUCUCGUUUUCCUGCCAGGCCUGGUCCUACCCGCCCGGGGGGCGUGUCCUCAGGGGGAGGUACUGUAGCGUUACUUACCUUAACCGGGGGCCGGUCGCGGUCCUCUCUUCAAGCCGCGCGCCUGAAACUAAGAGACUCGCGGCGCGCUCUUAAAGAGACAGUGGGAGCCUAAUUGCCAAAAGGCUCCCAUUGGCUCCUGUCAUACCACACUCCCUGUACAAUUACCUAUAGGGGGUGUGGAAGUGACAGGAGCCAAUCACUUUCGUUUUAAAGCUAUUUAAACUUACCUUUUUCCCUUAGCUCGUUGCCCUAUCGUGGUUUCUGUUUCAGUUCCCUUUAGCGCUUGUGGUGUUCAGUUGUGUUUUCUCGCAUUGACUUUGGCUUCGUAUUCUGACUUCGUUUUCGCUUUAUCCUUAUCUGUACUGUUUGCCGGCUUGCUGUUUUCCGUGUACCAGACCCCGGCUUGUCCUAGUUUACGCUGCCUCUCUGUGCCCUUGACCUCGGUUUGUUCCUGGCUCUGUCUCCUCUCAUAUACGUCGAGUCCGGCCAUUCUAAGGUCCGGUAGACGUAUCUCUCCUCUGUAUUUGCCUCUGUUUAGCUGGAUCCUGCGUGUAGGGGUAUAUUCUCGUUACACUAACAAUAAUCCCAAUCAUGACCUUGCGUCCUAUGCCUCCUAAUCACAUCCCUAUUUCGAUGGUCCAAUCAUAUCCACACUUAAUAAAUGGAAAUCCAUCCUUGGUACACCCAACAUACAUCAAUGACACACAUAGUACAUCCAUGCCUGAGUAAGCUAACACUUCCUCUCUCUCCGGCUAACUCUACAAAAAUAAAAAUAACAAAGUAGUUCAAUAGUCCAGCAGAGUCCAGAAAAACAGAAUAAGUCUUUCAUGGAGUAUAAAGAAUCUUAGACUCCAUAAACUUUGUUCCAUAAGCUUAGACACCAUAACAUAGCUAAGGGUAGCAAUAUGGCUGACAACAAGACAAUGUCAGCUUCCACAUAGUUCUUAAUUCUUCUGUUUGCUGGAUGUUCACCACAAUACUCUGUGCAACACCCCAAUUGUUGAAAGGGUAAUACAGAAAUAGUGGCAUUAGACAGCACUGCACCUUCAGGACUUUCCAAGUUAGUUUAUGUCCUCAUAAGUAAGCAUCUCAGUUUCUUCGGCCAGCAUGGAUUUUGACCAAACAGAUUUAAUUGUGAAAAAGGUAGGUAGGCAGGUAGGUCAGCCAGAGAGAUUGGUGUGUAGUCCCAAAUAUCAGACGGCACAAAUACUCCAGUACGGUCUCCAUAAUCAUACAAACACAAGGAUCAGUACGACAUCAAUAAAUUAAUUAUCUAGGCUAAAUUUAAAUUAGAGACUAAAGUUAAACUCUUAACUAGUGUAACAUGUACUUCUCUCAGUUUUGCUUAUAAUUCCUUGAAUUUGUCCUUUAUACAAUUUUAAUACAUAAUUUCCCUUUAGAAUGCCUUUGUAUGGAUGAGAGAAGCACUCAUUCUAUAUAAAUACUUAUUGAGUACUAAAACACUAACAUAUACAUAUUGGAAUAAUUCCCAAUAAAAUGCUGUUCUUAAACUUAAACCUUGAUUUGAUAAUCUCAAUUAAUUACUUUAAUAAAAUUGGAAUGCUGAAGUCUGUCAGAAAUUUUGUGGACCCCGAUAACAUCUUUGGAAACCGAAACCUUUUAUAGAUCACGAUGUCCAAAAUACCACCAGUUCUGUAUGUGUGUGAUCAUGUUUUAAUACUGUACAGUUAUCUCACUUAAACAAUCUUUUUUUUUUCAGAACAACUAGGAAUGAAAUAGGAGAAACAAAAUGAAUUACUAUUGUUUUAAAGUGCUUUGUUUAAUACAGGUUUCGGAAGAGUUGUCUUGCUGUGUUAAGGUUGCAAGUGACCUCUGAUAAGGAAGGGACAGCAAACUGUAGACAUAUGUUAGAUUAAGUUGCCCUCACUUGUCAGGUCCUGGAAACCCACGUGUUUUAUUGUAGAUGCCUCUAUGAUACCACGUUACAAAUUGACUAAGCAUACUUAUUAUUAUCCUAUUUUAUUUUAGCUAUUUCACAUUGCGCAGCCUAUGCAAACAAUGUCUAUGUCCCAACUUCAGCUUGUACAUCCUCUAAGAGCCAGCAUUAAUACUGUUUUAUCACUCAAAACUAUAAAGUAUUAAAAACAUGAACCAUCUGUGUAUUCAGUUAGGCUGGGGUUGUUGGGUGUGGGUAUAGUUUGGAAGCUGUGGUUGGUAUUGAGGAACUGUCAGGGUGGGUCCUUGAACACCAGCUGGGCCAGGAUCUCCCGUAGCACCGGGUUCUCCUUUGUUUCCUUGAGCACCAGGUUCACCAUUGUUACCCUUAGGUCCAGGGGAACCUCCGGGGCCUUGAGGUCCAGGAGCACCACAGGCACCAGGGAAGCCAGGGGCACCAGCAAUACUAGGAGUACCAGUGGGGCCAGCUUGACCGGGAGAACCGGGUUCACCAUGAGCACCUUGGGGUGAACCCCUGCUAUCCACAAUUAAAACACUGCUGAAGUUACCACCUCUACAAAAGUUAGACCCUUUGAUCAAAUCCUCUACCUCUGCCUCUAAAACUUUUCUGAUUCAAUCUCCUAUCACCUCCCAAAUGUCCGUGUCUCGCCUGCUUAAGAUCACAAUCCUUUGUGACCGAUACAACAUACUUUUCCCUCUUUCUUUAUAUCAAAACAACCUGCUGUAUCUUUCUCAUGAAUCUUCCCAAGAAAUUCAGUUGGGGUCAAAGCGGGCCAGUCACAGACCAACAGUUUGCCCAAAAGUGAACAAGGAGGAAGCAUAUUCCACAUGCAGGUCGAGAUUACCUAACUCACACCCCCUCUUUGUGUACCACACAGAUAUAUUAAUAAGCUUUUGAAGAUUUAUUGUAUAUGUAUAGCAUAGCAGUUGUCUAGGGGUGUAUACAUAAACAGUGAAAGCAGAGUCUUCAUAUAAGGUUUGCAAUUCUGACAGUCUGGGUCAUAGGUGUAAUGCAGACAUGCGGUUAGGUACUUUCCCAUUGUCAGAACACUAAUAUAUUGCAAAUAUUAAAAUCAUAUUGCAGCUGUUUCC